Molecule: ribosomal RNA, 440 nt
Filed under: uncultured bacterium
Lineage: Bacteria
Description: partial 16S ribosomal RNA
Rfam family: Bacterial small subunit ribosomal RNA
Source: RNAcentral
CCUACGGGUGGCAGCAGUGGGGGAUAUUGCACAAUGGGGGGAACCCUGAUGCAGCGACGCCGCGUGGGUGAAGAAGCGCCUCGGCGCGUAAAGCCCUGUCAGCAGGGAAGAAAAUGACGGUACCUGAAGAAGAAGCCCCGGCUAACUACGUGCCAGCAGCCGCGGUAAUAUGUAGGGGGCAAGCGUUAUCCGGAUUUACUGGGUGUAAAGGGGGCGCAGACGGCGAUGCAAGCCAGGAGUGAAAGCCCGGGGGCCAACCCCGGGACUGCUAGUGGAACUGCGUGGCUGGAGUGCAGGAGGGGCAGGCGGAAUUCGUGGUGUAGCGGUGAAAUGCGUAGAUAUCAGGAGGAACACCGGUGGCGAAGGCGGCCUGCUGGACUGCAACUGACGUUGAGGCCCGAAAGCGUGGGGAGCAAACAGGAUUAGAUACCCGUGUAGUC